AUUGAACGCUGGCGGCAUGCCUUACACAUGCAAGUCGAACGGUAACGCGGGGCAACCUGGCGACGAGUGGCGAACGGGUGAGUAAUGCAUCGGAACGUGCCCAGUAGUGGGGGAUAGCCCGGCGAAAGCCGGAUUAAUACCGCAUACGACCUACGGGUGAAAGGGGGGGAUCGCAAGACCUCUCGCUAUUGGAGCGGCCGAUGUCAGAUUAGGUAGUUGGUGGGGUAAAGGCCUACCAAGCCGACGAUCUGUAGCUGGUCUGAGAGGACGACCAGCCACACUGGGACUGAGACACGGCCCAGACUCCUACGGGAGGCAGCAGUGGGGAAUUUUGGACAAUGGGCGCAAGCCUGAUCCAGCCAUGCCGCGUGCGGGAAGAAGGCCUUCGGGUUGUAAACCGCUUUUGUCAGGGAAGAAAUCUUCUGGGUUAAUACCUCGGGAGGAUGACGGUACCUGAAGAAUAAGCACCGGCUAACUACGUG
Molecule: ribosomal RNA, 482 nt
Filed under: uncultured bacterium
Lineage: Bacteria
Description: bacterial SSU rRNA
Rfam family: Bacterial small subunit ribosomal RNA
Source: RNAcentral